UAGCUCAGCGGCAUAAGCACCUGCCUUGCAAGCAGGCGGUCCUGGGUUCGAUCCCCGG
This is a transfer RNA of Cavia porcellus (domestic guinea pig), 58 nucleotides long. It matches the Rfam family "tRNA", at positions 8 to 63 of the family's 71-position model. Rfam says of the family: Transfer RNA (tRNA) molecules are approximately 80 nucleotides in length. NCBI's taxonomy places the organism in Eukaryota, Metazoa, Chordata, Mammalia, Rodentia, Caviidae. The record is from Rfam.